AGGGUGCAAGCGUUAUCCGGAUUCACUGGGUUUACAGGGUGCGUAGGAGGGCAGGUAAGUCAGUGGUGAAAUCUCCAAGCUUAACUUGGAAACUGCCGUUGAUACUAUCUGUCUUGAAUAUUGUGGAGGUGAGCGGAAUAUGUCAUGUAGCGGUGAAAUGCUUAGAUAUGACAUAGAACACCAAUUGCGAAGGCAGCUUACUACCCGAAUAUUGACACUGAGGCACGAAAGCGUGGGGAUCAAACAGG
Molecule: ribosomal RNA, 248 nt
Filed under: uncultured bacterium
Lineage: Bacteria
Description: partial 16S ribosomal RNA
Rfam family: Bacterial small subunit ribosomal RNA
Source: RNAcentral